AGAGUUUGAUCAUGGCUCAGGAUGAACGCUGGCGGCGUGCCUAAUACAUGCAAGUCGAGCGGCAGCACGGUCUUCGGACUGGUGGCGAGCGGCGGACGGCUGAGUAACGCGUAGGAAUAUACCCCAAAGUGAGGGAUAACUGCCCGAAAGGGUGGCUAAUACCGCAUGUGGUCUUCGGACUAAAGCCUUCGGGCGCUUUGGGAAUAGCCUGCGUAAGAUUAGCUAGUUGGUGAGGUAAUGGCUCACCAAGGCGACGAUCUUUAGCUGGUCUGAGAGGAUGACCAGCCAGACUGGAGCUGAGACACGGUCCAGACUCCUACGGGAGGCAGCAGUAGGGAAUUUUCCACAAUGGGCGAAAGCCUGAUGGAGCAACGCCGCGUGCAGGAUGAAGGCCCUCGGGUCGUAAACUGCUUUUAUGUGCGAAGAAUAUGACGGUAACACAUGAAUAAGGGUCGGCUAACUACGUG
RNAcentral lists this ribosomal RNA (467 nucleotides) under uncultured bacterium. Its description in RNAcentral is "bacterial SSU rRNA". It matches the Rfam family "Bacterial small subunit ribosomal RNA", at positions 8 to 507 of the family's 1533-position model. The record is from RNAcentral.